RNAcentral lists this ribosomal RNA (721 nucleotides) under uncultured bacterium. Its description in RNAcentral is "bacterial SSU rRNA". It matches the Rfam family "Bacterial small subunit ribosomal RNA", at positions 711 to 1435 of the family's 1533-position model. The record is from RNAcentral.
GAUAGCGAAGGCAGCUUGCUGAACCAUUAUUGACGCUGAGGCACGAAAGCGUGGGGAGCNNNCAGGAUUAGAUACCCUGGUAGUCCACGCCCUAAACGUUGAUUACUCGUUGUUGGCGAUAUACUGUCAGCGACUAAGCUAAAGCGUUAAGUAAUCCACCUGGGAAGUACGACCGCAAGGUUGAAACUCAAAGGAAUUGACGGGGGCCCGCACAAGCGGAGGAGCAUGUGGUUUAAUUCGAUGAUACGCGAGGAACCUUACCUGGGCUUGAAAGUUAGUGACCGCCUCUGAAAGGAGGCUUCUCUUCGGAGCACAAAACUAGGUGCUGCAUGGCUGUCGUCAGCUCGUGCCGUGAGGUGUUGGGUUAAGUCCCGCAACGAGCGCAACCCCUUUCUUUAGUUGCCAUCAGGUUAUGCUGGGGACUCUAAAGAUACUGCCUAUGUAAAUAGUGAGGAAGGUGGGGACGACGUCAAGUCAUCAUGGCCCUUACGUCCAGGGCUACACACGUGCUACAAUGGCAGUCACAAAUGGAUGCUACUUAGUAAUAAGAUGCUAAUCCCAAAAAGAUUGUCUCAGUUCGGAUUGAAGUCUGCAACUCGACUUCAUGAAGCUGGAUUCGCUAGUAAUCGCAUAUCAGCAAUGAUGCGGUGAAUACGUUCCCGGGCCUUGUACACACCGCCCGUCAAGCCAUGGAAGAUGGGAGUACCUAAAGUCGAUAACC